Molecule: ribosomal RNA, 224 nt
Filed under: uncultured bacterium
Lineage: Bacteria
Description: partial 16S ribosomal RNA
Rfam family: Bacterial small subunit ribosomal RNA
Source: RNAcentral
GAUCCUGCUCAGGAUGAACGCUAGCUACAGGCUUAACACAUGCAAGUCGAGGGGCAGCAUGGUCUUAGCUUGCUAAGGCCGAUGGCGACCGGCGCACGGGUGAGUAACAAGUAUCCAACCUGCCGUCUACUCUUGGACAGCCUUCUGAAAGGAAGAUUAAUACAAGAUGGCAUCAUGAGUCCGCAUGUUCACAUGAUUAAAGGUAUUCCGGUAGACGAUGGGGA